GCCGUGUUCUCAAGAAUGCACAACUUGAGAUUGCUCAAAUUUUACGGGAGUUCCAGGUUAAAGAAGGAAGGUACUGGCUCCAUAUUUGAAUCUAGCGGAUCAGAUUGUCUAAAAAGUCUUCCUAACAAGUUGAGAUUACUUCAUUGGGAAGAAUACCCUUUCAAGUCUUUGCCAUUAAAUUUUUCCAUGGAAAACCUUGUCCACCUCAACAUGCGAAAUAGCAAAGUUGAAAAGCUCUGGAAUGGAGUUAAGUGUUUGCCAAACUUAAAAUCUCUUGAUCUUGCUUUCUCAAAGCAUCUGAAAAUAGUCCCUGAUUUUUCUAUGAUGACAAGCCUGGAAGAGAUAAAUUUUGAUGGUUGUGAGAGUUUGAUUGAGAUUCCAUCAUCCAUUCAGUGCUUGAAAAGACUCGAUUCUCUUUAUCUAACUGAUUGCAAAAAGUUGAGAAGUCUUCCACAAAUGCCGAGAGGCAUAAAAUUUUUAAAUUUCUCUGAAUCUGGAGUGGAAGAGUGGUCUCCGUCAUC
Molecule: unclassified non-coding RNA, 521 nt
Filed under: Hevea brasiliensis (rubber tree)
Lineage: Eukaryota; Viridiplantae; Streptophyta; Magnoliopsida; Malpighiales; Euphorbiaceae
Source: RNAcentral